Molecule: ribosomal RNA, 253 nt
Filed under: uncultured bacterium
Lineage: Bacteria
Description: partial 16S ribosomal RNA
Rfam family: Bacterial small subunit ribosomal RNA
Source: RNAcentral
UACGGGGGGGGUAAGCGUUGUUCGGAAUUACUGGGCGUAAAGGGCUCGUAGGCGGCCAACUCAGUCAGACGUGAAAUCCCUCAGCUUAACUGGGGAACUGCGUCUGAUACUGGAUGGCUUGGAUUUGGGAGAGGGAUGCGGAAUUCCAGGUGUAGCGGUGAAAUGCGCAGAUAUCUGGAGGAACACCGGUGGCGAAGGCGGCAUCCUGGACCGACAUUGACGCUGAGGCGCGAAAGCCAGGGGAGCAAACGGG